AGUGAACGCUGGCGGUAGGCCUAACACAUGCAGGUCGAACGGCAGCACAGGAGAGCUUGCUCUCUGGGUGGCGAGUGGCGGACGGGUGAGGAAUACAUCGGAAUCUACUUUUUCGUGGGGGAUAACGUAGGGAAACUUACGCUAAUACCGCAUACGACCUACGGGUGAAAGCAGGGGACCUUCGGGCCUUGCGCGAUUGAAUGAGCCGAUGUCGGAUUAGCUAGUUGGCGGGGUAAAGGCCCACCAAGGCGACGAUCCGUAGCUGGUCUGAGAGGAUGAUCAGCCACACUGGAACUGAGACACGGUCCAGACUCCUACGGGAGGCAGCAGUGGGGAAUAUUGGACAAUGGGCGCAAGCCUGAUCCAGCCAUACCGCGUGGGUGAAGAAGGCCUUCGGGUUGUAAAGCCCUUUUGUUGGGAAAGAAAUCCAGCUGGCUAAUACCCGGUUGGGAUGACGGUACCCAAAGAAUAAGCACCGGCUAACCUCGUGCCAGCCGCCGCAGUAA
RNAcentral lists this ribosomal RNA (506 nucleotides) under uncultured bacterium. RNAcentral's name for it is "partial 16S ribosomal RNA". It matches the Rfam family "Bacterial small subunit ribosomal RNA", at positions 29 to 523 of the family's 1533-position model. The record is from RNAcentral.